This 484-nucleotide ribosomal RNA is filed under the name uncultured bacterium. RNAcentral describes it as "partial 16S ribosomal RNA". It matches the Rfam family "Bacterial small subunit ribosomal RNA", at positions 30 to 507 of the family's 1533-position model. The record is from RNAcentral.
AUUGAACGCUGGCGGCAGGCCUAACACAUGCAAGUCGAGCGGAUGAAGGGAGCUUGCUCCUGGAUUCAGCGGCGGACGGGUGAGUAAUGCCUAGGAAUCUGCCUGGUAGUGGGGGAUAACGUCCGGAAACGGGCGCUAAUACCGCAUACGUCCUGAGGGAGAAAGUGGGGGAUCUUCGGACCUCACGCUAUCAGAUGAGCCUAGGUCGGAUUAGCUAGUUGGUGGGGUAAAGGCCUACCAAGGCGACGAUCCGUAACUGGUCUGAGAGGAUGAUCAGUCAAACUGGAACUGAGACACGGUCCAGACUCCUACGGGAGGCCGCAGUGGGGAAUAUUGGACAAUGGGCGAAAGCCUGAUCCAGCCAUGCCGCGUGUGUGAAGAAGGUCUUCGGAUUGUAAAGCACUUUAAGUUGGGAGGAAGGGCAGUAAGUUAAUACCUUGCUGUUUUGACGUUACCAACAGAAUAAGCACCGGCUAACUUCGUG